AAGUCGUAACAAGGUUUCCGUAGGUGAACCUGCGGAAGGAUCAUUAUCGAGUCUUUGAAGGGGUUGUAUCUGGCCUUUCGGGGCAUGUGAACACCCCGCUCAUCCACUUUACACCUGUGCACCUCUGUAGGAUGGUCUUCGGGCCUCCUAUGUAUUUUAUAAACCCAAUCAGUCUCAGAAUGUAAACCGCGUCUAACGCAAAUAUACAACUUUCAGCAACGGAUCUCUUGGCUCUC
RNAcentral lists this unclassified non-coding RNA (236 nucleotides) under air metagenome. RNAcentral's name for it is "partial contains small subunit ribosomal RNA, internal transcribed spacer 1, and 5.8S ribosomal RNA". The stretch from base 1 to 46 matches the Rfam family "Eukaryotic small subunit ribosomal RNA", at positions 1786 to 1831 of the family's 1831-position model. The record is from RNAcentral.